Long non-coding RNA from Canis lupus familiaris (dog), 1523 nucleotides. RefSeq lists it as uncharacterized. NCBI's taxonomy places the organism in Eukaryota, Metazoa, Chordata, Mammalia, Carnivora, Canidae. The transcript has 3 exons. The record is from RefSeq and is a predicted model, not a curated record.
GACAGCAAAGGCCUGACCUGCACAGAGGAAGAGGACCAGAGCUAAUUGCGAAGAUGUCCACAUCCUGAUAGAGCCUACAGAAGGGGAAGCUGGAAGCUCUCAGAACAGGGCUCGGAGAGGAAGGGACAGGGAGAGAAAUGGAGAAGACAAAGAACUGGAGCCAGGAGGAGCUGUUAGACUCCCAUUGUCAGAACCCAUGACACAGACCUGAGCCUGGUGCUGGAGUCUCCAUGGCUGAUCCUGAGGAUGCCACACCGGCGACGCACCCAGGCCAUGGGCCGUGUGCGCCCAGGAGGCUGAGCUGAGUCAGUACCUCUCCAAAGCAAGAAACGAAAGCCACUCUCGCCCCAACACAGCAGUACCUUCAGCCUCCCUGACCAAGCACAGAAGGUAAGCCACAGCCUCCCUGGAAUGACCAGACCCCUGAAAGCCAAGCAGGAACAUACCAUACCAUCACCUUUGCUGCUUCCAUUUGAACCCCACCUCAGGCCUGGCCCGGCAACCAGGUUCGUUUUACCAAGGGGAUUGUCUACAGUACAACCUGCCCUGCCUUUCCUCAGAAGGCCCCCCAAAGCAACCUCCCUGAAGCCACCCCAGGACUGACAGGGGAAGUGCUGAGCCCAGUUGCCAAUAGAGUUCCUCCUUCCCCUCCUCCUCUAAAAAAGCCAAGGACUAUUGAACUGCUCCCUCCUUUCCCAGGAAAAGACAGAGACUCAGGGACAAGACUCCUCAGUACAGGAGCAGGCUUAGGAUGAAAAGCUGGCAUGCCUUGUCCCACUCCUUCCUUUCUUCCCUGGAAGAAGCUGACAUCGCAGGUGACUGGACAGCCUGCCAGGCUCUCCCAGAGUAUCAACACAUAUGCAUGCACACACACAUACACAACAGAAAAGAAGGAUGUCCCUCCUGACCCACCUGAGCCCCCCCUCUCCCGUCCUCCCCCUCUUACUGCCGCUCUUGGUUUCCAAGUGGGCCUCCAGCUCUGAGUAGCCUUCUGAGCACUGGCUGAACUCGACCACCCUGCCACCACCACCUCAGCUCCUCUGGGGACAGUGGAGCCACAGAAGCAGCCCUCUGAAAGCAAGGCUCAGAACCAAUACAGUGACUUAGACAAAUGGUGUGGGUCUGGGAAAUAACCGUGAGCAAAAUGGCUAUUUCUGUGGUGCUGUUGAAAUCCUGGGGACAGGAGCCCAGAAAGGAUGGGUCAGUUGUUUACCAGGAGGCUAGCUCUAGCCCUUGACUUGGGCCUGAGUCACCUCCUCAUGUCCAAUCGUGAGAUUGUGCCUUCCUGAGCCCACAUAAUGAUUCCUGUGUGUGCAGAGCAGGAUUACAGGGUUGACACAUGAUCCUUGGGCUGCUGCUGGGCUUUAGCUACCCAGAGAUUACAACCCACCUGUCCUCACAGCUGUUUCAUAAACAGUACAAUUGGCAAGCUACAAGCAACCUAGAGGAAGGGUAAUAUUUAUUCAUUAAAUAAUUAAACGAAUUUAAAGCAUAAGGGGAAAAGGUCCAAGUCCUUAGUACUG